RNAcentral lists this ribosomal RNA (271 nucleotides) under uncultured bacterium. RNAcentral describes it as "partial 16S ribosomal RNA". It matches the Rfam family "Bacterial small subunit ribosomal RNA", at positions 62 to 334 of the family's 1533-position model. The record is from RNAcentral.
UCGAACGGCACCUAUCUUCGGAUAGAAGCGAGUGGCGAACGGCUGAGUAACACGUGGAGAACCUGCCCCCUCCCCCCGGGAUAGCCGCCCGAAAGGACGGGUAAUACCGGAUACCCCGGGGUGCCGCAUGGCACCCCGGCUAAAGCCCCGACGGGAGGGGGAUGGCUCCGCGGCCCAUCAGGUAGACGGCGGGGUGACGGCCCACCGUGCCGACAACGGGUAGCCGGGUUGAGAGACCGACCGGCCAGAUUGGGACUGAGACACGGCCCAG